AGGCUCCGCGGUGUUACACGUGAGGUUGCAAACCUCAAGAAGCAGAAUAGUAUUUUGCCGGGGCU
This 65-nucleotide transfer RNA is filed under the name Rhacophorus poecilonotus. RNAcentral's name for it is "tRNA-Cys". The record is from RNAcentral. Lineage: Eukaryota; Metazoa; Chordata; Amphibia; Anura; Rhacophoridae.